Molecule: ribosomal RNA, 260 nt
Filed under: uncultured bacterium
Lineage: Bacteria
Description: partial 16S ribosomal RNA
Source: RNAcentral
CUGCUGCCUCCCGUAGGAGUUUGGGCCGUGUCUCAGUCCCAAUGUGGCCGGUCACCCUCUCAGGUCGGCUACUGAUCGUUGCCUUGGUGGGCCGUUACCCCUCCAACUAGCUAAUCAGACGCGGGUCCAUCUCAUACCGUCUCGGCUUUUCACCCCGAACCAUGCGGUUCUGUGUGCUUAUGCGGUAUUAGCAGUCAUUUCUAACUGUUAUCCCCCUGUAUGAGGCAGGUUACCCACGCGUUACUCACCCGUCCGCCGCU